Molecule: non-coding RNA, 536 nt
Organism: Pelodiscus sinensis (Chinese soft-shelled turtle)
Lineage: Eukaryota; Metazoa; Chordata; Testudines; Trionychidae
Source: RefSeq, a predicted model, not a curated record
CAGAAACCUCAUAGUCAACGUUGGACUUUUUGCUGCCGGAGUCUGGGUAGCCCGAAACUUAACAGACAUUGAUUUGAUGUCUCCUCCACCAGUUGCAUAGCAAUUACCAUUGUGAAUAAAUUGUACCUGCAUCAAGUCUGAAGAGGUUCCAAUCCCAGUGUGACCAUGACCAAAUGAAGAGUUGUGUGGUGUAUGUUGCUUUUGUUCUAGGUACCUGAAAGUUCAACAGCAGCUCUAAAAUAGUAUUUCAAUUCAAGCAUAGCUAUCAUUCCAUAGUGAAGAGUGAUAAGUGAGAAACUAUUUAACUCUUGAGAUGUUUGCUGUAUGUUCAGUUCACUCAACUGAGCUCAGUGUAUUAUUCAGUUAUAUUUUCAAGACUUGUGAAGCUGCUAUAUGUUGAGCUUAAUUCUGUAUGUCUAUGUAAAGUGUGUGAAAUAAUGACAUUCUACUGCACUGAUUUUUAUUCUUUUAAUAGGAAACUUCAGUUUACAAAACAAGGUGUAAAAAAGAGUAAAGAUUUACAAAAAUCAUAAAAA